RNAcentral lists this transfer RNA (77 nucleotides) under Clostridia bacterium. RNAcentral describes it as "tRNA-Ile". It matches the Rfam family "tRNA". Rfam says of the family: Transfer RNA (tRNA) molecules are approximately 80 nucleotides in length. Their secondary structure includes four short double-helical elements and three loops (D, anti-codon, and T loops). The record is from RNAcentral. Lineage: Bacteria; Bacillati; Bacillota; Clostridia. RNAcentral also lists the same sequence under 1 other name.
GGGCCAUUAGCUCAGUUGGUCAGAGCUACCGGCUCAUAACCGGUCGGUCCUGGGUUCGAGUCCCCGAUGGCCCACCA